AUCUCCCCCACUCAGAGCCGUUCCACCUCUCAUGAUAUCUCCCCCACUCCUCAGCCUUUUCUCCCCUCACGACAUCUCCCCCACUCCUCAGCCUUUCCCCCCAUGACAUCUCCCCCACUCAGAGCCGAUCCAGCCCUCAUGACAUCUCCCCCACUCCUCAGCCUUUCCUCCCCCCAUGACAUCUCACCCACUCCUCAGCCUUUCUUCCCCUCAUGGCAUCUCCCCGACUCCUCAGCCUUUCCUCCCUUUCCAUGACAUCUCCCCCACUCCUCAGCCUUUCCUCCCCCGAUGACAUCUCCCCGACUCCUCAGCCUUUCCUCCUUUUCCAUGACAUCUCCCCCACUCCUCAGCCUUUCCUCCCCCCAUGACAUCUCCCCCCAUGACAUCUCCCCCAUUCCUCAGCCUUUCCUCCCCUCAUAACAUCUCCUCUACUCCUCAGCCUUUCCUCCCCCCAUGACAUCUUCCCCUACUCCUCAGCCUUUCCUCCCCUCAUGACAUCUCCCCCUACUCCUCAGCCUUUCCUCCCCUCAUGACAUCUCCCCCACUCCUCAGCCUUUCCUCCCCUCAUGACAUCCGCCCCUACUCCUCAGCCUUUCCUCCCCUCAUGACGUCUACCCCUACUCCUCAGCCUUUCCUCCCCUCAUGACGUCUCCCCCACUCCUCGGCCUUUCCUCCCCUCAUGAC
Molecule: long non-coding RNA, 684 nt
Filed under: Homo sapiens (human)
Lineage: Eukaryota; Metazoa; Chordata; Mammalia; Primates; Hominidae
Description: HSALNT0083165
Source: RNAcentral